This 372-nucleotide ribosomal RNA is filed under the name uncultured bacterium. RNAcentral describes it as "bacterial SSU rRNA". It matches the Rfam family "Bacterial small subunit ribosomal RNA", at positions 527 to 896 of the family's 1533-position model. The record is from RNAcentral.
GUAGGGUGCGAGCGUUGUCCGGAAUUAUUGGGCGUAAAGGGCUCGUAGGCGGUUUGUCACGUCGGGAGUGAAAACUCAGGGCUCAACCCUGAGCCUGCUUCCGAUACGGGCAGACUAGAGGUAUGCAGGGGAGAACGGAAUUCCUGGUGUAGCGGUGAAAUGCGCAGAUAUCAGGAGGAACACCGGUGGCGAAGGCGGUUCUCUGGGCAUUACCUGACGCUGAGGAGCGAAAGUGUGGGGAGCGAACAGGAUUAGAUACCCUGGUAGUCCACACCGUAAACGUUGGGCGCUAGGUGUGGGACUCAUUCCACGAGUUCCGUGCCGCAGCUAACGCAUUAAGCGCCCCGCCUGGGGAGUACGGCCGCAAGGCUA